Molecule: non-coding RNA, 157 nt
Organism: Durio zibethinus
Lineage: Eukaryota; Viridiplantae; Streptophyta; Magnoliopsida; Malvales; Malvaceae
Source: RefSeq, a predicted model, not a curated record
GUAAAUUCUGUCCAAGGCUGAAUACGGGCGAGAGAUCGAUAGCGAACAAGUACCGCCGAGAGACCGAUAGCGAACAAGUACCGCGAGGGAAAGAUGAAAAGGAAUUUGAAAAGAGAGUCAAAGAGUGCUUGAAAUUGUCAGAAGGGAAGCGGAUGGG